UGGGUAACCUGCCUCAAAGAGGGGAAUAGCCUCCCGAAAGGGAGAUUAAUACCGCAUAAUAUGUUUAAGUCGCAUGACUUUAACAUCAAAGGAAUUCCUUUUAGGAAUUUCACUUUGAGAUGGACCCGCGGCGCAUUAGCUAGUUGGUGAGGUAACGGCUCACCAAGGCAACGAUGCGUAGCCGGCCUGAGAGGGUGACCGGCCACACUGGGACUGAGACACGGCCCAGACUCCUACGGGAGCAG
Molecule: ribosomal RNA, 245 nt
Filed under: uncultured bacterium
Lineage: Bacteria
Description: partial 16S ribosomal RNA
Rfam family: Bacterial small subunit ribosomal RNA
Source: RNAcentral